This 427-nucleotide ribosomal RNA is filed under the name uncultured bacterium. Its description in RNAcentral is "partial 16S ribosomal RNA". It matches the Rfam family "Bacterial small subunit ribosomal RNA", at positions 355 to 774 of the family's 1533-position model. The record is from RNAcentral.
UGGGGAAUAUUGGACAAUGGGCGAAAGCCUGAUCCAGCCAUGCCGCGUGUGUGAAGAAGGUCUUCGGAUUGUAAAGCACUUUAAGUUGGGAGGAAGGGCAUUAACCUAAUACGUUAGUGUUUUGACGUUACCGACAGAAUAAGCACCGGCUAACUCUGUGCCAGCAGCCGCGGUAAUACAGAGGGUGCAAGCGUUAAUCGGAAUUACUGGGCGUAAAGCGCGCGUAGGUGGUUUGUUAAGUUGGAUGUGAAAUCCCCGGGCUCAACCUGGGAACUGCAUUCAAAACUGACUGACUAGAGUAUGGUAGAGGGUGGUGGAAUUUCCUGAGUAGCGGUGAAAUGCGUAGAUAUAGGAAGGAACACCAGUGGCGAAGGCGACCACCUGGACUAAUACUGACACUGAGGUGCGAAAGCGUGGGGAGCAAACA